Long non-coding RNA from Alligator mississippiensis (American alligator), 613 nucleotides. RefSeq lists it as uncharacterized. The transcript is spliced from 3 exons. NCBI's taxonomy places the organism in Eukaryota, Metazoa, Chordata, Crocodylia, Alligatoridae. The record is from RefSeq and is a predicted model, not a curated record.
UCUUAAGCCUCAGGCCAGCAGGGCUGGAGGCAGCAGUUGCUGCCUGGUGCUUAGGAAAGAACAUCUCCUAGUGGAGCUGCUGCUCUGGAGACAGCACAGAGGUGCUACCUGAUGUCUUGGCAAAAUUCUAGUUUUGAUGUACACAUGCUGCUUAAAAUAUUCUUCUGCUUCCAAUGGAUAUACUGUUCUUCUCACCCCAAAGUUUGUCUGGGAUUGUUAUGUGGCUGUUGCAUUUUCAAUCAAGAUGCCAUAUUUUAUUGCCUUAAACUCGAUUUGAAUUCUUGAAAAUGAACAACAAACAACCUGAACAGAAAUGUGUCAAGAGAUGCCCAUUGCUAUUGGAAAGCUGACAUGGAAAAUACAUUUAGCAGAAUCUCCCUUUCAAUUUAUUUUAUUACACAAAUACCAAAUCAAGGAAUAACUGUGGUUACUGUGUAUUAAUGACAAAUUAAUGGGGCAUCAUUGUAUUUAAAGCAAUAUAGAGAAGGCAAGCAUCUUUAAUUCUGACCAAGUUGUUGUAAUGAAAUAUUUUCUCAGGCACCUGUUUCUCUUGUAGGAGUGGAAAGCAUUGGUAUUGCUUACAAGUCUAAUACCAGUAUGACUUAUUGAUGAC